CUUGCUCUGGUGGCGAGUGGCGAACGGGUGAGUAAUAUAUCGGAACGUACCCUGGAGUGGGGGAUAACGUAGCGAAAGUUACGCUAAUACCGCAUACGAUCUACGGAUGAAAGUGGGGGAUCGCAAGACCUCAUGCUCGUGGAGCGGCCGAUAUCUGAUUAGCUAGUUGGUAGGGUAAAAGCCUACCAAGGCAUCGAUCAGUAGCUGGUCUGAGAGGACGACCAGCCACACUGGAACUGAGACACGGUCCAGACUCCUACGGGAGGCAGCAGUGGGGAAUUUUGGACAAUGGGCGAAAGCCUGAUCCAGCAAUGCCGCGUGAGUGAAGAAGGCCUUCGGGUUGUAAAGCUCUUUUGUCAGGGAAGAAACGGUGAGGGCUAAUAUCCCUUGCUAAUGACGGUACCUGAAGAAUAAGCACCGGCUAACUACGUGCCAGCAGCCGCGGUAAUACGUAGGGUGCAAGCGUUAAUCGGAAUUACUGGGCGUAAAGCGUGCGCAGGCGGUUUUGUAAGUCUGAUGUGAAAUCCCCGGGCUCAACCUGGGAAUUGCAUUGGAGACUGCAAGGCUAGAAUCUGGCAGAGGGGGGUAGAAUUCCACGUGUAGCAGUGAAAUGCGUAGAUAUGUGGAGGAACACCGAUGGCGAAGGCAGCCCCCUGGGUCAAGAUUGACGCUCAUGCACGAAAGCGUGGGGAGCAAACAGGAUUAGAUACCCUGGUAGUCCACGCCCUAAACGAUGUCUACUAGUUGUCGGGUCUUAAUUGACUUGGUAACGCAGCUAACGCGUGAAGUAGACCGCCUGGGGAGUACGGUCGCAAGAUUAAAACUCAAAGGAAUUGACGGGGACCCGCACAAGCGGUGGAUGAUGUGGAUUAAUUCGAUGCAACGCGAAAAACCUUACCUACCCUUGACAUGGCUGGAAUCCCUGAGAGAUUGGGGAGUGCUCGAAAGAGAACCAGUACACAGGUGCUGCAUGGCUGUCGUCAGCUCGUGUCGUGAGAUGUUGGGUUAAGUCCCGCAACGAGCGCAACCCUUGUCAUUAGUUGCUACGAAAGGGCACUCUAAUGAGACUGCCGGUGACAAACCGGAGGAAGGUGGGGAUGACGUCAAGUCCUCAUGGCCCUUAUGGGUAGGGCUUCACACGUCAUACAAUGGUACAUACAGAGCGCCGCCAACCCGCGAGGGGGAGCUAAUCGCAGAAAGUGUAUCGUAGUCCGGAUUGUAGUCUGCAACUCGACUGCAUGAAGUUGGAAUCGCUAGUAAUCGCGGAUCAGCAUGUCGCGGUGAAUACGUUCCCGGGUCUUGUACACACCGCCCGUC
This 1317-nucleotide ribosomal RNA is filed under the name Janthinobacterium sp. Its description in RNAcentral is "bacterial SSU rRNA". It matches the Rfam family "Bacterial small subunit ribosomal RNA", at positions 79 to 1398 of the family's 1533-position model. Lineage: Bacteria; Pseudomonadati; Pseudomonadota; Betaproteobacteria; Burkholderiales; Oxalobacteraceae. The record is from RNAcentral.